UUAAAUGGCUGCAGUAAUUUGACUGUACAAAGGUAGCAUAAUCAAUAGUUUUUUAAUUGAAAGCUGGAAUGAAUGGUUGGACGAGAUAAAAUCUGUCUUUAUUUAAUUUAUAAUAAAAUUUAAUUUUUAAGUUAAAAAGCUUAAAUUUUUAUAAAAGACGAGAAGACCCUAUAGAGUUUUAUAUUUAAUAGAUUAUAUUUAAUAUAGAUUUUUUUAUUAUAUAUUUUAUAAAAUAUUUUAUUGGGGUAAUAUAAAGAUUAAAUUAAUUCUUUAAAUUUUUUAUAUUUAUAAAUAUUUUAUAUGAUCCAUUAAUAUUGAUUAAAAGAUUAAAUUACCUUAGGGAUAACAGCGUAAUUUUUUUAGAGAGUUCAUAUUGAUAAAAAAGUUUGCGACCUCGAUGUUGGAUUAAAGAUUAAUUUAGGUGCAAAAGUUUAAAUGUUUGGUCUGUUCGACCAUUAAAUCUUUACAUGAUCUGAGUUCAGACCGGCGUGAGCCAGGUCGGUUUCUAUCUUUAUUAAAUUAAAAUAUUUUAGUACGAAAGGACCAAAUAUUAAUUAAAUUAGUUAUUUAUUUGAAUAUUAUU
This 583-nucleotide ribosomal RNA is filed under the name Typhlocharis sp. 7 CA-2017. Its description in RNAcentral is "partial large subunit ribosomal RNA". The stretch from base 342 to 500 matches the Rfam family "Bacterial large subunit ribosomal RNA", at positions 2473 to 2632 of the family's 2925-position model. Lineage: Eukaryota; Metazoa; Arthropoda; Insecta; Coleoptera; Carabidae. The record is from RNAcentral.